ACACACGUGCUACAAUGGGCAGUACAGAGGGCAGCGAAGUCGCGAGGCCAAGCAAAUCCCUUAAAACUGUUCGUAGUCCGGAUUGGAGUCUGCAACUCGACUCCAUGAAGUCGGAAUCGCUAGUAAUCGCGAAUCAGAAUGUCGCGGUGAAUACGUUCCCGGGCCUUGUACACACCGCCCGUCACACCAUGGGAGUGGAUUGCACCAGAAGUAGUUAGUCUAACCUUCGGGAGGACGAUUACCACGGUGUGGUUCAUGACUGGGGUGAAGUCGUAACAAGGUAGCCGUAGGGGAACCUGCGGCUGGAUCACCUCCUUAACGACGAAGAC
RNAcentral lists this ribosomal RNA (329 nucleotides) under Alcanivorax sp. HI0003. RNAcentral describes it as "bacterial SSU rRNA". It matches the Rfam family "Bacterial small subunit ribosomal RNA", at positions 1216 to 1533 of the family's 1533-position model. Lineage: Bacteria; Pseudomonadati; Pseudomonadota; Gammaproteobacteria; Oceanospirillales; Alcanivoracaceae. The record is from RNAcentral.